CCUACGGGGGGCUGCAGUGGGGAAUAUUGCACAAUGGGCGCAAGCCUGAUGCAGCCAUGCCGCGUGUGUGAAGAAGGCCUUCGGGUUGUAAAGCACUUUCAGCGGGGAGGAAGGCGUUAAGGUUAAUAACCUUGGCGAUUGACGUUACCCGCAGAAGAAGCACCGGCUAACUCCGUGCCAGCAGCCGCGGUAAUACGGAGGGUGCAAGCGUUAAUCGGAAUUACUGGGCGUAAAGCGCACGCAGGCGGUCUGUCAAGUCGGAUGUGAAAUCCCCGGGCUCAACCUGGGAACUGCAUUCGAAACUGGCAGGCUAGAGACUUGUAGAGGGGGGUAGAAUUCCAGGUGUAGCGGUGAAAUGCGUAGAGAUCUGGAGGAAUACCGGUGGCGAAGGCGGCCCCCUGGACAAAGACUGACGCUCAGGUGCGAAAGCGUGGGGAGCAAACAGGAUUAGAUACCCGAGUAGUC
This 465-nucleotide ribosomal RNA is filed under the name uncultured Klebsiella sp. RNAcentral describes it as "bacterial SSU rRNA". It matches the Rfam family "Bacterial small subunit ribosomal RNA", at positions 338 to 795 of the family's 1533-position model. The record is from RNAcentral. Lineage: Bacteria; Pseudomonadati; Pseudomonadota; Gammaproteobacteria; Enterobacterales; Enterobacteriaceae.